RNAcentral lists this transfer RNA (72 nucleotides) under Phycisphaera sp. TMED151. Its description in RNAcentral is "tRNA-Thr". It matches the Rfam family "tRNA". From Rfam's summary of the family: Transfer RNA (tRNA) molecules are approximately 80 nucleotides in length. Their secondary structure includes four short double-helical elements and three loops (D, anti-codon, and T loops). Further hydrogen bonds mediate the characteristic L-shaped molecular structure. tRNAs have two regions of fundamental functional importance: the anti-codon, which is responsible for specific mRNA codon recognition, and the 3' end, to which the tRNAs corresponding amino acid is attached (by aminoacyl-tRNA synthetases). tRNAs cope with the degeneracy of the genetic code in two manners: having more than one tRNA (with a specific anti-codon) for a particular amino acid; and 'wobble' base-pairing, i.e. permitting non-standard base-pairing at the 3rd anti-codon position. The record is from RNAcentral. Lineage: Bacteria; Pseudomonadati; Planctomycetota; Phycisphaerae; Phycisphaerales; Phycisphaeraceae. RNAcentral also lists the same sequence under 6 other names.
GCCGCCGUAGCUCAGUGGUAGAGCGCUCCCUUGGUAAGGGCGAGGUCGUGGGUUCAAAUCCCAUCGGUGGCU